AACCGCCAGAGUCGCGGGCGGGGCGGGGACGGGGCUGCCGCAGCACCCCGCCUCUCACCGCUCCGCGCAGCUGGGAAACUGGAAUGCACCAACCGCAGGGGGCGUCCGUGACGUGUUCGCGGAUGGGGCAUGGCCGCGGGGCGGCCGAGGUCCAGGACCGCCAUGUCCUCCCUGAGAUGCUGAAGUGUCCCCAGCUGCAUCAUCACGAAUGUGGUGACCAAAGUUGAUGGCGGGUUGUGUCAUGUGGAGUGGGCCACACAGAAUGAACCCAAGUUGUCUUUAGGGACCAGGGGUCAGGAGCUUGGAGCAGCCUCAUAUGCAGUCCCAGCAGAAUUGCCGAGGCAGGAAGAUCCUGAGUUUGAGACCAACCUGGGCUGUAUAGCAAGAGUCUCAAGAACAAAGAGGAGAAGAAAAAUUUUAAGCACCCUGGGCUAAAAGAAUUUAGAUCAUGAGCAACUUGUGGGGGCAUCUUGGACCUAUAUGCUGGACCAGUGACAAACUUAGAGCUUUGAAGAGACAGAUCAUGUCCCCAUACUGUGUUCAUCCAGUUUCUCUGUUGAAUAAACAUGUUAAGGAGUGA
Long non-coding RNA from Mesocricetus auratus (golden hamster), 580 nucleotides. RefSeq lists it as uncharacterized. The record is from RefSeq and is a predicted model, not a curated record. The transcript is spliced from 3 exons. NCBI's taxonomy places the organism in Eukaryota, Metazoa, Chordata, Mammalia, Rodentia, Cricetidae.